This 515-nucleotide ribosomal RNA is filed under the name uncultured bacterium. Its description in RNAcentral is "partial 16S ribosomal RNA". It matches the Rfam family "Bacterial small subunit ribosomal RNA", at positions 29 to 523 of the family's 1533-position model. The record is from RNAcentral.
AACGAACGCUGGCGGCGUGCUUAACACAUGCAAGUCGAACGCGAAAGGAACUUCGGUCCUGAGUAAAGUGGCGCACGGGUGAGUAACGCGUAGAUAACCUGUCUUCGAGUCUGGAAUAAUACACCGAAAGGGGUACUAAUACCGGAUAUUCUUGCGUUUCAUAAGGGGUGUAAGCAAAGGUGGCCUCUGCAUAUGCUACUGCCUGAAGAGGGGUCUGCGUACCAUUAGCUAGUAGGUAGGGUAAUGGCCUACCUAGGCUACGAUGGUUAGCGGGUAUGGGAGGAUGAUCCGCCACACUGGCACUGGAACACGGGCCAGACUCCUACGGGAGGCAGCAGUGAGGAAUAUUGCGCAAUGGGGGCAACCCUGACGCAGCGACGCCGCGUGAGUGAGGAAGGCCUUCGGGUCGUAAAGCUCUGUCAAAGGGAAAGAAAUGUAUAAUGGCUAAUACCUGUUAUAUUUGACGGUACCCUUAAAGGAAGCACCGGCUAACUCCGUGCCAGCAGCCGCAGUAA